This is a non-coding RNA of Chelonoidis abingdonii (Abingdon island giant tortoise), 327 nucleotides long. NCBI's taxonomy places the organism in Eukaryota, Metazoa, Chordata, Testudines, Testudinidae. The record is from RefSeq and is a predicted model, not a curated record.
CAAUAGUUUGACAGAUGCACUACAAGAAGCCAAUAAAUUGUUCAGUAGAGUUUCCCAGGCAAGGGAGGCUGCUCUGGAUGCCCAGUUCCUUGUUUUGGCAUCAAAUCUAGGAAAGGAAAAAGCAAAUGAGUUACACUCUGAAAUGACAGUAUUUGACUCGCCAGCAUUUGCUGAAGAUUUAAUAACGUUUAUGGGCCUAAAUCGUCUAGAAGGAGAAGAAAAUGAUAGCGAUGAUGAGAGCAUUGCUAGUGGACUUUUACCUAAUAAUGCCUGGCAUAAACUGGGAGCAGAAGCAGAAAGCUAUUUCAGAAGAUCUCCUUCUUUUCA